Non-coding RNA from Phascolarctos cinereus (koala), 925 nucleotides. NCBI's taxonomy places the organism in Eukaryota, Metazoa, Chordata, Mammalia, Diprotodontia, Phascolarctidae. The record is from RefSeq and is a predicted model, not a curated record.
UGUAAACAGAAAGAACAAUGAAACAAAACUGAAUUGUGUGUAAUUAUAAUGAAUCAAUCUCAGUCGUGGAGGAGAGAUGAGGGAAUGCACCUCCCUCCUUUCGUUGGAGAAGUGGGGGACUAAGAGAGCCCUUGGAGCAUCUGAAGACAGCCAUCAUGGCCACCCUCUAAGCCCUCUCUUCUCCAAGCUCAACACCGCCAAGCUCUCUGAGCUACCAGCCCCAUAUGACAUGGUUUUCAGGCUGAGCAUGGACAGCUCCUUCACUGGUUGCUGAGGUGACCUUCUUCUAAGCACCAGCUCUGGGCAUCCUUCUCUGGCUGCCUUCAGGCAUCGUCAGUGUCUCUACUGAAAUGUGCGCCCGUGGCAUCUAAUCUGACCCUUAGAUCUUCGAGAAGAGUGGACAGUGGGAUGAUGCAGCCAAAAGAGCUGGAGGCAUCUUGGCUUGCAUUGAGAGGGAUGUGGCUUCCAAGAAUAAGGAAAUGUUAGUUCCCCUCCCCUCUGGCCUUGUCAGCCAACAUCUGGAGUCCUGUGUUCAGUUCUUGGCACCACAGUUUAAGAAGGAUAUCGAUCAGCUGGCAAGUUUCUCAAGGAAGGCAACCAGAUUGAUAGUGAGAGGCUUUGAGGUCUUGUCAUAUGGGGAAUGUGUGAAGGAAGUGAGCGUGUUUGGGCUGGAAAAGAAAAGAUUCAGGGGAAAUAUGAUAAUGGUUUUCAAGGAUCUGAAGGAGUGAGAAGGGGAAAGAAGGAUCCAACUUGUCUGUUCACAGAGGAGCAAUGGGUACAAAUGGGAAAGAGGCAAAUUGAAGCUUGACAUCAGGAAAAACCUUGGAAUAACUGGAGCUGUUCCAAAACAGAAUGGGCUGCCUGAGAGAUGGUGAGUUCUCCCUCCUUGGAAACCUUCAAGCAGAAGCUGUAUGACCACUCCUUU